AAAAUGACUCUCGGCAACGGAUAUCUCGGCUCUUGCAUCGAUGAAGAACGUAGCGAAAUGCGAUACUUGGUGUGAAUUGCAGAAUCCCGUGAACCAUCGAGUCUUUGAACGCAAGUUGCGCCCGAAGCCAUUUGGCCGAGGGCACGCCUGCUUGGGUGUCGUGA
This 164-nucleotide ribosomal RNA is filed under the name Mouriri sagotiana. Its description in RNAcentral is "5.8S ribosomal RNA". It matches the Rfam family "5.8S ribosomal RNA". From Rfam's summary of the family: 5.8S ribosomal RNA (5.8S rRNA) is a component of the large subunit of the eukaryotic ribosome. It is transcribed by RNA polymerase I as part of the 45S precursor that also contains 18S and 28S rRNA. Lineage: Eukaryota; Viridiplantae; Streptophyta; Magnoliopsida; Myrtales; Melastomataceae. The record is from RNAcentral.